AGGUCAAGCGAACAAGGGCGCAGGGCGAAUGCCUUGGCACUGGGAGCCGAUGAAAGACGUGAUAAGCUGCGAUAAGCUUCGGGGAGCUGCAAAUAAGCAUUGAUCCGGAGAUUUCUGAAUGAGGAAACUCACCUGGGUUCAUACUCAGGUACGUUAUACUGAACUUAAAAAUAGGUAUAUCGAGGGAACCGCCUGAACUGAAACAUCUAAGUAGGGCGAGGAAGAGACAUCAAACGAGAUUCCGUAAGUAGUGGCGAGCGAACGCGGAAGAGGGCAAACCGGGAGUAGAAAUACUCCCGGGGUACGGACUGCUUUUAGGACUUAAUCUGUUAACCGAACGGCAUGGGAAGGCCGGUCAGAGAGUGUGAGAACCACGUAGGUGAAAACGACAAGAGCUGAGCGAGUUCCAGAGUACGGCCAGACACGUGAAACCUGGUCGGAAUACGGGGGGACCACCCUCCAACCCUAAAUACUACCCAGUGACCGAUAGCGUAUAGUACUGUGAAGGAAAGGUGAAAAGCACCCCGGGAGGGGAGUGAAAAAGAACCUGAAACCCUGUGCCUACAAGCACCUAGAGCACGUCAAUGUGUGAUAGGGUACUUUUUGUAGAACGGUCCGGCGAGCGAUUGUAUGCAGCAAGGUUAAGGACUUAAGGUCUGGAGCCGAAGCGAAAGCGAGUUUGAAAAGGGCGUUAAGUUGCAUACAAUGGGCCCGAAACCGGGUGACCUACCCAUGGUCAGGUUGAAGUGGAAGUAAAAUUCCAUGGAGGACCGAACCGACCUCCGUUGAAAAGGCGGCGGAUGAACUGUGGGUAGCGGAGAAAUUCCAAUCGAACCCGGAGAUAGCUGGUUCUCCCCGAAAUAGUUUUAGGACUAGCCUCAAGUUAGAUACCUGGAGGUAAAGCACUGAAUAGCCUAGCGGCCGAGAGGUUAGCGAAGCUUAUCAAACUCAGAAUGCCAGAGUAUUGAUGCUUGGGAGUCAGACAGUGUCAGAUAAAUGUCAUUGUCAAAAGGGAAACAGCCCAGAUCUACAGCUAAGGUCCCAAAGUCAGGUUAAGUGGAAAACGAUGUGAAGAUACGUAGACAACCAGGAUGUUGGCUCAGAAGCAGCCACACAUUCAAAGAGUGCGUAAUAGCUCACUGGUCGAGCGUCUUUGCGCGGAGAAUUUAACGGGGCUAAACCUGACACCGAAGCUUAGGCAAUACAGCAAUGUAUUGGGUAGGGGAGCGUUGUAUACGCGGUGAAACAGUAGCGCAAGCGGCUGUGGAGUGUAUAGAAGUGAGAAUGCCGGAAUGAGUAGCGCGAAUGCAGUGAGAAUCUGCAUGGCCGAAAGCCUCAGGUUUCUGGAGGAAGGUUCGUCCGCUCCAGGUUAGUCGGGAGCUAAGGUGAGGCCUAACGGCGUAGCCGAUGCACAGACGGUAGAGAUUCCGUCACCACCAAAAGAGUUAAACACAGGGACACAUUUGAAGUCUCGGAGCCGGGUGUUGGUUCCGGUAGCGAUCGAGGGAAGUUAGUACCGAAGUCCGGGAUGGAAGAUGGCGAGAAAAGCUGUGUGUAUUUCUGCGGUGCCCGUACCGCAAACCGACACAGGUAGGUAGGAAGAAGAUUCUAAGGCCAACGGGAGAAGGGUUGUUAAGGAACUCGGCAAAUUGACCCCGUAACUUCGGGAGAAGGGGUGCUCCAGAGAUGGAGCCGCAGAGAAUCGGCCCAAGCAACUGUUUACCAAAAACACAGGUUUGUGCUAAAUCGAAAGAUGACGUAUACGAGCUGACGCCUGCCCGGUGCUGGAAGGUUAAGAGGAGAUGUGCAAGCAUUGAAUCGAAGCCCCAGUGAACGGCGGCCGUAACUAUAACGGUCCUAAGGUAGCGAAAUUCCUUGUCAGGUAAGUUCUGACCCGCAUGAAAGGCGUAAUGAUUUGGGCACUGUCUCGACAGCCCGCCCGGCGAAAUUGUAGUACCGGUGAAGAUGCCGGUUACCCGCGACAAGACGGAAAGACCCCAUGGAGCUUUACUGUAGCCUAAUAUUGGGUUUCGAUGUUGCAUGCACAGGAUAGAUGGGACACAGGGAAACAAGUGCUUUGGCAUUUGUGGAGUGGCCGUUGGGAUACCAUCCUUGCGAUAUUGGAAUUCUAACCUGCGCCUUUGAAUCAAGGCGGGGGACAUUGUUAGGUGGGCAGUUUGACUGGGGCGGUCGCCUCCUAAAGAGUAACGGAGGCGUUCAAAGGUUCGCUCAGCUUGAACGGAAAUCAAGCAAAAGAGUGCAAACGCAGAAGCGAGCCUAACUGCGAGACUGACGGGUCGAGCAGUAACGAAAGUUGGAGUUAGUGAUCCGGUGGUAUGUGAGUGGAAAUGCCAUCGCUCAACGGAUAAAAGUUACCCUGGGGAUAACAGGCUGAUCUCCCCCAAGAGUCCACAUCGACGGGGAGGUUUGGCACCUCGAUGUCGGCUCAUCGCAUCCUGGGGCUGUAUUCGGUCCCAAGGGUUUGGCUGUUCGCCAAUUAAAGCGGUACGCGAGCUGGGUUCAGAACGUCGUGAGACAGUUCGGUCCCUAUCUGUCGUGGGCGCAGGAUAUUUGAUGGGAGCUGUUCCUAGUACGAGAGGACCGGAGCGGACGUACCUCUGGCGCACCAGUUGUUCUGCCAAGGGCAUAGCUGGGCAACUAUGUACGGAUCGGAUAAACGCUGAAAGCAUCUAAGCGUGAAGCCGACCCAAAGAUAAGAUAUCCCAUUGUUUCAAACAAGUAAGACCCCUUGAAGACUACAAGGUUGAUAGGCACGAUGUGUAAGUGGAGUGAUCCAUUCAGCAAGCGUGUACUAAUAGGUCGAGGGCUUGACCACAA
RNAcentral lists this ribosomal RNA (2838 nucleotides) under Faecalibacterium prausnitzii. Its description in RNAcentral is "23S ribosomal RNA". It matches the Rfam family "Bacterial large subunit ribosomal RNA". Lineage: Bacteria; Bacillati; Bacillota; Clostridia; Eubacteriales; Oscillospiraceae. The record is from RNAcentral.